This 499-nucleotide unclassified non-coding RNA is filed under the name uncultured Paraglomus. RNAcentral's name for it is "SSU rRNA". It matches the Rfam family "Eukaryotic small subunit ribosomal RNA", at positions 591 to 1092 of the family's 1831-position model. Lineage: Eukaryota; Fungi; Glomeromycota; Glomeromycetes; Paraglomerales; Paraglomeraceae. The record is from RNAcentral.
CCAAUAGCGUAUAUUAAAGUUGUUGUGGUUAAAAAGCUCGUAGUUGAACCUUGGGCCUGGCUGGCCGGUCCGCCUCACCGCGUGUACUGGUCCGGCCGGGCCUUUCCCUCUGUGGAACCUCAUGCCCUUCACUGGGUGUGACGGGGAAGCAGGACUUUUACUGUGAAAAAAUUAGAGUGCUCCAAGCAGGCCUAUGCUCGAAUACAUUAGCAUGGAAUAAUAAAAUAGGACGUGCGGUUCUAUUUUGUUGGUUUCUAGGACCGCCGUAAUGAUUAAUAGGGACAGUCGGGGGCAUCAGUAUUCAAUUGUCAGAGGUGAAAUUCUUGGAUUUAUUGAAGACUAACUACUGCGAAAGCAUUUGCCAAGGAUGUUUUCAUUAAUCAGGAACGAAAGUUAGGGGAUCGAAGACGAUCAGAUACCGUCGUAGUCUUAACCAUAAACUAUGCCGACUAGGGAUCGGACGAUGUUAUUUUUUUAAUGACUCGUUUGGCACCUUACG